AACGCACAUUGCGCCCGCCAGCAUUCUGGCGGGCAUGCCUGUCCGAGCGUCAUUUCCACCCUCAGGCCCUGCCUGGUGUUGGGGACCUGCAGCUGCUGCAGCCCCCCAAAGACAACGGCGUGCCUGCCGGGCCCCGAGCGUAGUAACACACCUCGCCUGGGAAGCCCUGCAGCGCCCUGCCGCAAGCCUAUAACUCUCAAGGUUGACCUCGGAUCAGGUAGGAAUACCCGCUGAACUUAA
RNAcentral lists this unclassified non-coding RNA (240 nucleotides) under uncultured fungus. RNAcentral describes it as "partial contains 5.8S ribosomal RNA, internal transcribed spacer 2, and large subunit ribosomal RNA". The record is from RNAcentral. Lineage: Eukaryota; Fungi.